GCGGAGGAACGAUGUGGUUUAAUUCGAUGAUACGCGAGGAACCUUACCCGGGCUUGAAUUGCAGAGGAAGAAGUUUGGAGACAAUGACGCCCUUCGGGGUCUCUGUGAAGGUGCUGCAUGGUUGUCGUCAGCUCGUGCCGUGAGGUGUCGGCUUAAGUGCCAUAACGAGCGCAACCCCUCUCCUUAGUUGCCAUCAGGUCAAGCUGGGCACUCUGGGGACACUGCCACCGUAAGGUGUGA
Molecule: ribosomal RNA, 240 nt
Filed under: uncultured bacterium
Lineage: Bacteria
Description: partial 16S ribosomal RNA
Rfam family: Bacterial small subunit ribosomal RNA
Source: RNAcentral